CCUUGGGGACAUUUCGGGUGGCGCUGGUGGCACCUCCCCUGUCCGUGGGGACCCCCCCGUGGCCGCCCCCUGUCCCCUUCUGUCCCCCCCCCGGCCCAAAGGGGACACUUGGUGGCCCCACGGGGAUGUCCGAAAGGGGACGCCCAAAGGGGGCGGCACUGGUGGCACCGCUGGUGGCACUGGUGGCACCUCUUGUCCCCACGGGGCCAUCUCCAGUGCCACCAGUGCCACCUCUCCAGUCACUGGUGUCUCUUCUUGUCCCCAGGGUGCCACCUCUGGUGUCCCUGCUGCCACUUCUGGUGCCACUGGUGUUACUGGUGUCACUGGUGUUACUGGUGUUACUGGUGUUACUGGUGACUGGUCUCGUGCCACUGGUGUCCGUCCUUGUCCCCACGGGGCCAUCUCCAAUGUCACCGCUGUCACCUCCUGUGCCCCCAGUGCCCGUCCUUGUCCCCAUGGCUCCAUCUCCAGUGCCACCGGUGCCACCUCCCAUGUUACUGGUGUUACUGGUGUCACUGGGGACCGGUCUCGCGUCCCCAGUGUCCGUCCUUGUCCCCAUGGCUCCAUCUCCAGUGCCACCAGUGCCCCCCCUUGUGCCAGCGGUGUCCCUGGUGCCACCUCCCGUGCCACUGGUGUUACUGGUGUUACUGGUGCCACUGCUGUCACUGAUGAUACUGGUGCCACUGGCGUCACUGGUGUUACUGGUGUUACUGGUGUUACUGGUGACCGGUCUCGUGUCCCCAGUGUCCGUCC
Molecule: long non-coding RNA, 753 nt
Filed under: Anas platyrhynchos platyrhynchos (common mallard)
Lineage: Eukaryota; Metazoa; Chordata; Aves; Anseriformes; Anatidae
Description: lncRNA (ENSAPLG00000017462.1)
Source: RNAcentral